GCAUGAGUAGCUCAAAAUAAGAGCGCCGACCUUGUAAGUCGGAGGCCGAGGGUUAAAGUCCCUCCUCUUGCU
This 72-nucleotide transfer RNA is filed under the name Chasmodes bosquianus (striped blenny). RNAcentral's name for it is "tRNA-Thr". It matches the Rfam family "tRNA". From Rfam's summary of the family: Transfer RNA (tRNA) molecules are approximately 80 nucleotides in length. Their secondary structure includes four short double-helical elements and three loops (D, anti-codon, and T loops). Further hydrogen bonds mediate the characteristic L-shaped molecular structure. tRNAs have two regions of fundamental functional importance: the anti-codon, which is responsible for specific mRNA codon recognition, and the 3' end, to which the tRNAs corresponding amino acid is attached (by aminoacyl-tRNA synthetases). tRNAs cope with the degeneracy of the genetic code in two manners: having more than one tRNA (with a specific anti-codon) for a particular amino acid; and 'wobble' base-pairing, i.e. permitting non-standard base-pairing at the 3rd anti-codon position. The record is from RNAcentral. Lineage: Eukaryota; Metazoa; Chordata; Actinopteri; Blenniiformes; Blenniidae.